AUGACGAGUACGGGAGAGAAUCUCUCAAGGAUCACCGAAGAAGUAAACCGCAGACAGUCAAGCUGCAGCGAAACUUUCAGGUAAACGGACCGUAUUCUGACA
Molecule: non-coding RNA, 102 nt
Filed under: Clostridiales bacterium
Lineage: Bacteria; Bacillati; Bacillota; Clostridia; Eubacteriales
Description: Glycine sequence
Rfam family: Glycine riboswitch aptamer
About the family: This family represents the bacterial glycine riboswitch. Glycine riboswitches usually consist of two metabolite-binding aptamers domains with similar structures in tandem.
Source: RNAcentral